GAUGAACGCUGGCGGCGUGCUUAACACAUGCAAGUCGAACGAAGCACUUUUACAGAUUUCUUCGGAAUGAAGUUUUAGUGACUGAGUGGCGGACGGGUGAGUAACGCGUGGGUAACCUGCCUCACACAGGGGGAUAACAGUCGGAAACGGAUGCUAAUACCGCAUAAGCGCACAGUACCGCAUGGUACAGUGUGAAAAACUCCGGUGGUGUGAGAUGGACCCGCGUCUGAUUAGCUAGUUGGCAGGGCAACGGCCUACCAAGGCGACGAUCAGUAGCCGACCUGAGAGGGUGACCGGCCACAUUGGGACUGAGACACGGCCCAAACUCCUACGGGAGGCAGCAGUGGGGAAUAUUGCACAAUGGGGGAAACCCUGAUGCAGCGACGCCGCGUGAGCGAAGAAGUAUUUCGGUAUGUAAAGCUCUAUCAGCAGGGAAGAAGAAAUGACUGUACCUGACUAAGAAGCACCGGCUAAAUACGUGCCAGCCGCCGCAGUAA
This 497-nucleotide ribosomal RNA is filed under the name uncultured bacterium. Its description in RNAcentral is "partial 16S ribosomal RNA". It matches the Rfam family "Bacterial small subunit ribosomal RNA", at positions 28 to 523 of the family's 1533-position model. The record is from RNAcentral.